GCCCUCAUUCCUUCUCUUGUCACAUAUCCUAGGUUUCCACUUUCUCUUGGUUGUUGAAUCUAACAGUAGUCUCACCACCUCCUACUAGAAUUUUUUAUCUUUUUAUAUUUCAGUCACCAUGAUUCGCCACAAGUAAGGAUAACUUUUCUAAAGUUAUUAGAAUUAUUAAUCAAAUUAGAAGCUAUGGUCAUACUAUUCA
This 199-nucleotide long non-coding RNA is filed under the name Elaeis guineensis (African oil palm). RNAcentral describes it as "long non-coding RNA (EGUI_LNC027346)". The record is from RNAcentral. Lineage: Eukaryota; Viridiplantae; Streptophyta; Magnoliopsida; Arecales; Arecaceae.